AAAAGACACAAUCCAGAAAGUAACUUGAGGCACCAACAAGUUAAAGCACCAAUAAUUUUUAGUAUGAAAAUGAAAAACUGUUGGAAUUGCCCAAAGGCCUUGCACCAGGAGCAAAUACUUUGCUCCUAAAGCAGACAUUCAGAUCUGGAAAAUCUGAAAGAGAACAUGGGCAUGAUUCCCUUCAUUUUAAAAAUCAUCUUGAAUCCUGAGGCACAUUUGAAAUGCAAGAUAUGUGAGGUGAAUGGCAGAAAAGAAAAAUACCAGAAGACUGAAUUUCCAAUAAAUCAAAGCAACCGAAUUUCAAUUUACAAUAGUGGAACUCAGGACAUAUUUUUUCCACCAAAACAUCCAACCAAGUAUGAGUGAGUGGCCUGGCCUUAACACAUUGUUUGUUUGAACAACAAUUUGAAGGAAAGUCGAUAUGUUGAUAAUAUAAUAUAGAGUAACUUCAGAAGGCCUUAUAAAGAAUGUGCAGUAGGAAGAAGAAAAUCUGGAACCCUGAGUUAGCCUGGUGGGAAAGUCAGCCUCAGCUGAAGCCUCAACAGGCAGCUUGGAUGCUUCUUGACAUCUACAUUAAGGUGAG
This 583-nucleotide long non-coding RNA is filed under the name Homo sapiens (human). RNAcentral's name for it is "HSALNT0359909". Lineage: Eukaryota; Metazoa; Chordata; Mammalia; Primates; Hominidae. The record is from RNAcentral.